CGACCGGCGCACGGGUGAGUAACGCGUAUGCAACCUGCCCGAUACCGGGGUAUAGCCCAUGGAAACGUGGAUUAACACCCCAUAGUACUUUUAUCCUGCAUGGGAUGUGAGUUAAAUGUUCAAGGUAUCGGAUGGGCAUGCGUCCUAUUAGUUAGUUGGCGGGUAACAGCCCACCAAGACGAUGAUAGGUAGGGGUUCUGAGAGGAAGGUCCCCCACAUUGGAACUGAGACACGGUCCAA
This 240-nucleotide ribosomal RNA is filed under the name uncultured bacterium. RNAcentral describes it as "partial 16S ribosomal RNA". It matches the Rfam family "Bacterial small subunit ribosomal RNA", at positions 92 to 334 of the family's 1533-position model. The record is from RNAcentral.